RNAcentral lists this ribosomal RNA (2628 nucleotides) under Triticum aestivum (bread wheat). Its description in RNAcentral is "partial small subunit ribosomal RNA". Lineage: Eukaryota; Viridiplantae; Streptophyta; Magnoliopsida; Poales; Poaceae. The record is from RNAcentral.
AUGCCACAGCAAGGCAGCAACCAAGUAACAGCAUCCCAAAGUUCAAUGGAGCGAGAUCAGCCGCGCCGGGAUGAUGAGGGCAACAAGCACCCUCCUUCAACUUCAAUGGAGUACCAGCUGAAGGCGUACCUUCUGCUGCUGGCCACGCUGGUGGCGACGGUGACGUACGCGGCGGGGCUCAACCUGCCAGGGGGGGCCUGGCCGGACACGCAGGAUGGGCACCUCGCAGGCGACCCCAUCCUCCCGGACGCGCACUACCGCCGCUACCUGGCCUUCUACUACUGCAACGCCACCGCCUUCGCGUCGUCGCUCGUGGCCUGCCUACUCCUCCUCGUCCUUGACGAGGAGAACACAAAUUGGGCGAUUGUCCUGCGGGCGGUCAUGGUGCUCGACCUGUUCGGCCUCAUGGGGGCCUACGCCGCGGGAAGCUGCCGGGACAAGUUCACGACCAUCUUUGCCUCACUGCUGGUCACUUCCGUCUUCGCCUACAUUAUGCUUGUCUUCCUAAGUUCCGUCUUCGCCUAUGCCUUCCGUGGUAGUGUCUGCACCCAUGUCAUGAAGUGGGGAACCGUCUUCGCCGAUGCCUUCCAGAAGGUUUUUCCCAAGAGUACACAAGGAUCGAAGAAUCCUGAGGAGCAAGGCGAAGAUGAGCACGAGGUGUUGAUGCUGCUCGCGACCUUCGUCGUCACCAUCACAUAUGUGGCCGGACUGGGCCCACCUUGUGGGUUCUGGAGCGACAGCCGGGACGGCCACCGCGUGAGCGACCCGAUCAUGCAGGACCACAACACCAGCCGGUACCAGUCAUUCUUCGUGUGGAAUACCACCUCAUUCGUCGCGUCCCUGCUCAUCAUCGUGCUGCUCAUGGACAAGAAUCUGAGCAGGACCAUCUCUGUAAAGUUUGUCGCGCUCUAUGGGUUCAUCGCGGUGGCGCUCAUCGGCCUAGUGGGGGCCUAUGCUGCAGGAAGCUGCAGGGAAGCUGAUGCUACCAUCUACGUCGUUUCUCUGGCUGGUGCGGUUCUUGCAAGCAUAUUUCUACAGGUGGCUAUUACUAGCGCCAUGAACAAGGAGGGCAGUUGGGGUGAGAAACUACUCACACCCAUACGUCGUUGUACUUCACAAUGGCUGAAGAAUGUAAGAGAGUGGUUUACUCCUACUACUCCUAGCCCUAACAGGGAUACACAACAUGCUGACAAAGUAUUGGAAAGGAAUCGCUCUCUUGUCAUGCUGCUUGCUACUCUCGUGGUGAGCAUCACUUACACAGCUGGACUGGAUCCACCGGGCGGCCUCUGGCCAGAUGACCGGGAUGGGCACAAGGGCGGCGACCCGGUACUCCUCACAACCCAUCCUACUCGGUACAAAGUGUUCUUCUAUAGCAACUCAGCCGCCUUCGUGACAUCCUUAGUGGUCAUCAUAAUGGUUCAGAGUAGAUUCCUGCUAAAGCGCCAUACAUUGCACGCAGCCAUGAUACUGGAUUUGUUUGGCCUCAUAACUGCAUACGCCGCGGGGAGCGGUAGGGAUUUAAGCACCUCCAUCUAUGCUAUCGCCCUCGCGGGUGUUGUCCUUGUGUAUGUGGUGAUCCAUAUAGUGUUUUUCACAUUAGAAGACCAGCAGGUGGACAGCCCCCAGGAUCUCGAAAAGUUGGAUAAGAGGCGUGAGAUGCUGCUGCUGCUUGCCAUCUUGGCUGCAACGCUCACUUACCAAGCUGGGCUCACCCCGCCAGGUGGCUUCUGGUCAGCAGACGACAGCUUUGGUCAUCAUGCCGGGUUUCCGAUCCUCUUUGAUAACUACCCUCGCCGAUACAAUGCAUUCUUCUACUGCAAUGCGGCAAGCUUCAUGGCAUCUGUGACUCUCAUAGUUCUUCUGGUGAACCCCACCCUAUACAAGCCGGGCAUAAAGUGUUAUGCACUGUAUAUGUGCAUGGUGGUGGGCAUGUUUGGUCUCAUGGGUGCCUAUGCCGCUGGAAGCUCCCGCCAUGUGCGAACCUCCAUCUAUGUGUUCACUUUAGUUGCUGCGGUCUUUGCCUUCGUAAUCAUUCAGGUGGUCAUUUUCUGGAUACAAAGUUAUUGCAAAAAAGAGCAGCCAUCUACCUCAUCUGGUCCAGUGAACAAGGACUCUCGUGAGCGUUCUGAAGAAAAGGACCUUCGCGAGUACUUGAUGCUGCUAGGAGUCCUGGCUGCAAGUGUAACAUACCAGACUGGCCUGAAACCACCAGGUGGCCUCUGGCAAGACAACAACAAUGGGCAUACCGCAGGCAACUCGAUCCUCCAUGACAUCGACAGAGGCCGGUUCCGUGCUUUCUUCUACAGCAACUCCACUUCAUUCAUGGCUUCUGUCGUCGUCAUCAUCUUGCUGCUUCCACUGAACACCCACAAGUUGCCACUCUGGCCAAUGCAUACUGCCAUCUUGCUAGACAUGAUGGGUCUCCUUUGCGCCUAUGCGGCUGGUAGCACAAGGGAAUGGGGGACGUCCAGCCAUGUCAUCGCUCUGGUCGUUCCUGUGCUCGCCUAUAUUGCAGCCUACGCAGCGUGGUCAUUGUUCCGCAACAAGGGCCGAUGUGUGGCAACGAAGAUGCCUCAUGACCAACUAUCCCAACAAUAUGUCGCAACGGAGAUGCCGCAUGUGACAUGA